Molecule: small nucleolar RNA, 74 nt
Filed under: Mytilus galloprovincialis (Mediterranean mussel)
Lineage: Eukaryota; Metazoa; Mollusca; Bivalvia; Mytilida; Mytilidae
Description: Small nucleolar RNA SNORD59
Rfam family: Small nucleolar RNA SNORD59
About the family: U59 belongs to the C/D class of snoRNA which contain the C (UGAUGA) and D (CUGA) box motifs.
Source: Rfam by way of RNAcentral
UCUAUUAUGAUGAGUACAAAUCAAGACUUUCGUUCUUCUGAUUUGGUAUGAAGACAAUUUUGAUUCUGAAUGGA